This 1342-nucleotide ribosomal RNA is filed under the name Shigella flexneri. Its description in RNAcentral is "bacterial SSU rRNA". It matches the Rfam family "Bacterial small subunit ribosomal RNA", at positions 210 to 1533 of the family's 1533-position model. The record is from RNAcentral. Lineage: Bacteria; Pseudomonadati; Pseudomonadota; Gammaproteobacteria; Enterobacterales; Enterobacteriaceae.
GCCUCUUGCCAUCGGAUGUGCCCAGAUGGGAUUAGCUUGUUGGUGGGGUAACGGCUCACCAAGGCGACGAUCCCUAGCUGGUCUGAGAGGAUGACCAGCCACACUGGAACUGAGACACGGUCCAGACUCCUACGGGAGGCAGCAGUGGGGAAUAUUGCACAAUGGGCGCAAGCCUGAUGCAGCCAUGCCGCGUGUAUGAAGAAGGCCUUCGGGUUGUAAAGUACUUUCAGCGGGGAGGAAGGGAGUAAAGUUAAUACCUUUGCUCAUUGACGUUACCCGCAGAAGAAGCACCGGCUAACUCCGUGCCAGCAGCCGCGGUAAUACGGAGGGUGCAAGCGUUAAUCGGAAUUACUGGGCGUAAAGCGCACGCAGGCGGUUUGUUAAGUCAGAUGUGAAAUCCCCGGGCUCAACCUGGGAACUGCAUCUGAUACUGGCAAGCUUGAGUCUCGUAGAGGGGGGUAGAAUUCCAGGUGUAGCGGUGAAAUGCGUAGAGAUCUGGAGGAAUACCGGUGGCGAAGGCGGCCCCCUGGACGAAGACUGACGCUCAGGUGCGAAAGCGUGGGGAGCAAACAGGAUUAGAUACCCUGGUAGUCCACGCCGUAAACGAUGUCGACUUGGAGGUUGUGCCCUUGAGGCGUGGCUUCCGGAGCUAACGCGUUAAGUCGACCGCCUGGGGAGUACGGCCGCAAGGUUAAAACUCAAAUGAAUUGACGGGGGCCCGCACAAGCGGUGGAGCAUGUGGUUUAAUUCGAUGCAACGCGAAGAACCUUACCUGGUCUUGACAUCCACGGAAGUUUUCAGAGAUGAGAAUGUGCCUUCGGGAACCGUGAGACAGGUGCUGCAUGGCUGUCGUCAGCUCGUGUUGUGAAAUGUUGGGUUAAGUCCCGCAACGAGCGCAACCCUUAUCCUUUGUUGCCAGCGGUCCGGCCGGGAACUCAAAGGAGACUGCCAGUGAUAAACUGGAGGAAGGUGGGGAUGACGUCAAGUCAUCAUGGCCCUUACGACCAGGGCUACACACGUGCUACAAUGGCGCAUACAAAGAGAAGCGACCUCGCGAGAGCAAGCGGACCUCAUAAAGUGCGUCGUAGUCCGGAUUGGAGUCUGCAACUCGACUCCAUGAAGUCGGAAUCGCUAGUAAUCGUGGAUCAGAAUGCCACGGUGAAUACGUUCCCGGGCCUUGUACACACCGCCCGUCACACCAUGGGAGUGGGUUGCAAAAGAAGUAGGUAGCUUAACCUUCGGGAGGGCGCUUACCACUUUGUGAUUCAUGACUGGGGUGAAGUCGUAACAAGGUAACCGUAGGGGAACCUGCGGUUGGAUCACCUCCUUACCUUAAAGAAGC